Molecule: ribosomal RNA, 555 nt
Filed under: uncultured bacterium
Lineage: Bacteria
Description: partial 16S ribosomal RNA
Rfam family: Bacterial small subunit ribosomal RNA
Source: RNAcentral
UAGGGAAUCUUCCACAAUGGACGCAAGUCUGAUGGAGCAACGCCGCGUGAGUGAAGAAGGCUUUCGGGUCGUAAAACUCUGUCGUUGGAGAAGAAUGGUCGGCAGAGUAACUGUUGUCAGCGUGACGGUAUCCAACCAGAAAGCCACGGCUAACUACGUGCCAGCAGCCGCGGUAAUACGUAGGUGGCAAGCGUUAUCCGGAUUUAUUGGGCGUAAAGCGAGCGCAGGCGGUUUUUUAAGUCUGAUGUGAAAGCCCUCGGCUUAACCGAGGAAGCGCAUCGGAAACUGGGAAACUUGAGUGCAGAAGAGGACAGUGGAACUCCAUGUGUAGCGGUGAAAUGCGUAGAUAUAUGGAAGAACACCAGUGGCGAAGGCGGCUGUCUGGUCUGUAACUGACGCUGAGGCUCGAAAGCAUGGGUAGCGAACAGGAUUAGAUACCCUGGUAGUCCAUGCCGUAAACGAUGAAUGCUAGGUGUUGGAGGGUUUCCGCCCUUGCAGUGCCGCAGCUAACGCAUUAAGCAUUCCGCCUGGGGAGUACGACCGCAAGGUUGAAAC